GUACGCUGGCGGCACGCCUAACACAUGCAAGUCGAACGAAGUAGCAAUACUUAGUGGCAGACGGGUGAGUAACAUGUAGGUAUCUGCCCUUUGGCCUGGAAUAACACGAGGAAACUUGUGCUAAUACCGGAUAAGUCUUUACGGAGAAAGCUUUAUGCACCAUUGGAUGAGCCUGCACUUGAUUAGUUUGUUGGUAGGGUAAUGGCCUACCAAGACUGUGAUCAAUAGCUGAUUUGAGAGGAUGAUCAGCCACAUUGGGACUGAGACACGGCCCAAACUCCUACGGGAGGCAGCAGUGGGGAAUCUUGCACAAUGGAGGAAACUCUGAUGCAGCGAUGCCGCGUGAGUGAAGAAGGCCCUUGGGUUGUAAAGCUCUUUCGUCGGGGAAGAAAAUGACUGUACCCGAAUAAGAAGGUCCGGC
Molecule: ribosomal RNA, 421 nt
Filed under: uncultured bacterium
Lineage: Bacteria
Description: bacterial SSU rRNA
Rfam family: Bacterial small subunit ribosomal RNA
Source: RNAcentral